Molecule: non-coding RNA, 102 nt
Organism: Melampsora americana
Lineage: Eukaryota; Fungi; Basidiomycota; Pucciniomycetes; Pucciniales; Melampsoraceae
Source: the annotation of a GenBank genome assembly
GGUUUGGUGGUCUAGUAGUAUGAUUCACCCUUAGGGUUUGCCUUCCUCUCGGGGAGGAAACCAAUCUGGGUGAGGUCCCGGGUUCAAUUCCCGGCCAGACCC